RNAcentral lists this ribosomal RNA (282 nucleotides) under uncultured Staphylococcus sp. RNAcentral describes it as "partial 16S ribosomal RNA". It matches the Rfam family "Bacterial small subunit ribosomal RNA", at positions 81 to 355 of the family's 1533-position model. Lineage: Bacteria; Bacillati; Bacillota; Bacilli; Caryophanales; Staphylococcaceae. The record is from RNAcentral.
CUCCUUUGACGUUAGCGGCGGACGGGUGAGUAACACGUGGGUAACCUACCUAUAAGACUGGGAUAACUUCGGGAAACCGGAGCUAAUACCGGAUAAUAUUUCGAACCGCAUGGUUCGAUAGUGAAAGGUGGUUUUUGCUAUCACUUAUAGAUGGACCCGCGCCGUAUUAGCUAGUUGGUAAGGUAACGGCUUACCAAGGCGACGAUACGUAGCCGACCUGAGAGGGUGAUCGGCCACACUGGAACUGAGACACGGUCCAGACUCGUACGGGAGGCAGCAGCC